ACUAAGCGUACACGGUGGAUGCCCUGGCAGUCAGAGGCGAUGAAGGACGUGCUAAUCUGCGAUAAGCGUCGGUAAGGUGAUAUGAACCGUUAUAACCGGCGAUUUCCGAAUGGGGAAACCCAGUGUGAUUCGUCACACUAUCAUUAACUGAAUCCAUAGGUUAAUGAGGCGAACCGGGGGAACUGAAACAUCUAAGUACCCCGAGGAAAAGAAAUCAACCGAGAUUCCCCCAGUAGCGGCGAGCGAACGGGGAGCAGCCCAGAGCCUGAAUCAGUGUGUGUGUUAGUGGAAGCGUCUGGAAAGGCGUGCGAUACAGGGUGACAGCCCCGUACACAAAAAUGCACAUAUUGUGAGCUCGAUGAGUAGGGCGGGACACGUGGUAUCCUGUCUGAAUAUGGGGGGACCAUCCUCCAAGGCUAAAUACUCCUGACUGACCGAUAGUGAACCAGUACCGUGAGGGAAAGGCGAAAAGAACCCCGGCGAGGGGAGUGAAAAAGAACCUGAAACUGUGUACGUACAAGCAGUGGGAGCACGCUUAGGCGUGUGACUGCGUACCUUUUGUAUAAUGGGUCAGCGACUUAUAUUCUGUAGCAAGGUUAACCGAAUAGGGGAGCCGAAGGGAAACCGAGUCUUAACUGGGCGUUAAGUUGCAGGGUAUAGACCCGAAACCCGGUGAUCUAGCCAUGGGCAGGUUGAAGGUUGGGUAACACUAACUGGAGGACCGAACCGACUAAUGUUGAAAAAUUAGCGGAUGACUUGUGGCUGGGGGUGAAAGGCCAAUCAAACCGGGAGAUAGCUGGUUCUCCCCGAAAGCUAUUUAGGUAGCGCCUCGUGAAUUCAUCUCCGGGGGUAGAGCACUGUUUCGGCAAGGGGGUCAUCCCGACUUACCAACCCGAUGCAAACUGCGAAUACCGGAGAAUGUUAUCACGGGAGACACACGGCGGGUGCUAACGUCCGUCGUGAAGAGGGAAACAACCCAGACCGCCAGCUAAGGUCCCAAAGUCAUGGUUAAGUGGGAAACGAUGUGGGAAGGCCCAGACAGCCAGGAUGUUGGCUUAGAAGCAGCCAUCAUUUAAAGAAAGCGUAAUAGCUCACUGGUCGAGUCGGCCUGCGCGGAAGAUGUAACGGGGCUAAACCAUGCACCGAAGCUGCGGCAGCGACACUAUGUGUUGUUGGGUAGGGGAGCGUUCUGUAAGCCUGUGAAGGUGUACUGUGAGGUAUGCUGGAGGUAUCAGAAGUGCGAAUGCUGACAUAAGUAACGAUAAAGCGGGUGAAAAGCCCGCUCGCCGGAAGACCAAGGGUUCCUGUCCAACGUUAAUCGGGGCAGGGUGAGUCGACUCCUAAGGCGAGGCCGAAAGGCGUAGUCGAUGGGAAACAGGUUAAUAUUCCUGUACUUGGUGUUACUGCGAAGGGGGGACGGAGAAGGCUAUGUUGGCCGGGCGACGGUUGUCCCGGUUUAAGCGUGUAGGCUGGUUUUCCAGGCAAAUCCGGAAAACUAAGGCUGAGGCGUGAUGACGAGGCACUACGGUGCUGAAGCAACAAAUGCCCUGCUUCCAGGAAAAGCCUCUAAGCAUCAGGUAACAUCAAAUCGUACCCCAAACCGACACAGGUGGUCAGGUAGAGAAUACCAAGGCGCUUGAGAGAACUCGGGUGAAGGAACUAGGCAAAAUGGUGCCGUAACUUCGGGAGAAGGCACGCUGAUAUGUAGGUGAAGUCCCUCGCGGAUGGAGCUGAAAUCAGUCGAAGAUACCAGCUGGCUGCAACUGUUUAUUAAAAACACAGCACUGUGCAAACACGAAAGUGGACGUAUACGGUGUGACGCCUGCCCGGUGCCGGAAGGUUAAUUGAUGGGGUCAGCGCAAGCGAAGCUCUUGAUCGAAGCCCCGGUAAACGGCGGCCGUAACUAUAACGGUCCUAAGGUAGCGAAAUUCCUUGUCGGGUAAGUUCCGACCUGCACGAAUGGCGUAAUGAUGGCCAGGCUGUCUCCACCCGAGACUCAGUGAAAUUGAACUCGCUGUGAAGAUGCAGUGUACCCGCGGCAAGACGGAAAGACCCCGUGAACCUUUACUAUAGCUUGACACUGAACAUUGAGCCUUGAUGUGUAGGAUAGGUGGGAGGCUUUGAAGUGUGGACGCCAGUCUGCAUGGAGCCGACCUUGAAAUACCACCCUUUAAUGUUUGAUGUUCUAACGUUGACCCGUAAUCCGGGUUGCGGACAGUGUCUGGUGGGUAGUUUGACUGGGGCGGUCUCCUCCUAAAGAGUAACGGAGGAGCACGAAGGUUGGCUAAUCCUGGUCGGACAUCAGGAGGUUAGUGCAAUGGCAUAAGCCAGCUUGACUGCGAGCGUGACGGCGCGAGCAGGUGCGAAAGCAGGUCAUAGUGAUCCGGUGGUUCUGAAUGGAAGGGCCAUCGCUCAACGGAUAAAAGGUACUCCGGGGAUAACAGGCUGAUACCGCCCAAGAGUUCAUAUCGACGGCGGUGUUUGGCACCUCGAUGUCGGCUCAUCACAUCCUGGGGCUGAAGUAGGUCCCAAGGGUAUGGCUGUUCGCCAUUUAAAGUGGUACGCGAGCUGGGUUUAGAACGUCGUGAGACAGUUCGGUCCCUAUCUGCCGUGGGCGCUGGAGAACUGAGGGGGGCUGCUCCUAGUACGAGAGGACCGGAGUGGACGCAUCACUGGUGUUCGGGUUGUCAUGCCAAUGGCACUGCCCGGUAGCUAAAUGCGGAAGAGAUAAGUGCUGAAAGCAUCUAAGCACGAAACUUGCCCCGAGAUGAGUUCUCCCUGACUCCUUGAGAGUCCUGAAGGAACGUUGAAGACGACGACGUUGAUAGGCCGGGUGUGUAAGCGCAGCGAUGCGUUGAGCUAACCGGUACUAAUGAACCGUGAGGCUUAACC
Molecule: ribosomal RNA, 2892 nt
Filed under: Shigella dysenteriae
Lineage: Bacteria; Pseudomonadati; Pseudomonadota; Gammaproteobacteria; Enterobacterales; Enterobacteriaceae
Description: bacterial LSU rRNA
Rfam family: Bacterial large subunit ribosomal RNA
Source: RNAcentral